Molecule: ribosomal RNA, 497 nt
Filed under: uncultured bacterium
Lineage: Bacteria
Description: partial 16S ribosomal RNA
Rfam family: Bacterial small subunit ribosomal RNA
Source: RNAcentral
GAUGAACGCUGGCGGCGUGCCUAAUACAUGCAAGUCGAGCGAACGGACGAGAAGCUUGCUUUUCUGAUGUUAGCGGCGGACGGGUGAGUAACACGUGGAUAACCUACCUAUAAGACUGGGAUAACUUCGGGAAACCGGAGCUAAUACCGGAUAAUAUUUUGAACCGCAUGGUUCAAAAGUGAAAGACGGUCUUGCUGUCACUUAUAGAUGGAUCCGCGCUGCAUUAGCUAGUUGGUAAGGUAACGGCUUACCAAGGCAACGAUGCAUAGCCGACCUGAGAGGGUGAUCGGCCACACUGGAACUGAGACACGGUCCAGACUCCUACGGGAGGCAGCAGUAGGGAAUCUUCCGCAAUGGGCGAAAGCCUGACGGAGCAACGCCGCGUGAGUGAUGAAGGUCUUCGGAUCGUAAAACUCUGUUAUUAGGGAAGAACAUAUGUGUAAGUAACUGUGCACAUCUUGACGAUACCUAAUCAGAAAGCCACGGCUAACUACGUG